This 449-nucleotide ribosomal RNA is filed under the name uncultured bacterium. RNAcentral's name for it is "partial 16S ribosomal RNA". It matches the Rfam family "Bacterial small subunit ribosomal RNA", at positions 29 to 523 of the family's 1533-position model. The record is from RNAcentral.
AACGAACGCUGGCGGCAGGCCUAACACAUGCAAGUCGAACGCCCUAGCAAUAGGGAGUGGCAGACGGGUGAGUAACACGUGGGAACGUGCCCUUCGGUUCGGAAUAACUCAGGGAAACUUGAUCUAAUACCGGAUAAGUGCGAGAGCAGAAAGAUUUAUCGCCGAAGGAUCGGCCCGGUUCCGAUUAGCUAGUUGGUGAGGUAAUGGCUCACCAAGUCGACGGUCGGUAGCUGGUCUGAGAGGAUGACCAGCCACACUGGGACUGAGACACGGCCCAGACUCCUACGGUAGGAAGCAGUGGGGAAGAUUGGACAAUGGGCGUAAGCCUUAUCCAGCCAUGCCGCGUGAGUGAUGAAGGCCCGAGGGUUGUAAAGCUCUUUCGCCAGGGACGAUAAUGCCGGUACCUGGAUAAGAAGCCCCGGCUAACUUCGUGCCAGCAGCCGCCGUAA